Molecule: long non-coding RNA, 201 nt
Filed under: Junco hyemalis (dark-eyed junco)
Lineage: Eukaryota; Metazoa; Chordata; Aves; Passeriformes; Passerellidae
Description: lncRNA (ENSJHYG00000001795.1)
Source: RNAcentral
CUGAAGGCUGGUAGAAGCUUGCUUACUUUUUCCUUGAAGUGAGAAAUGAAAAUAACUGUCUCCCCAAGAUAUCCCUGGGAUUCAGACUAAAUGGGGCUUGUAUUUGCAUUGAUACUAAGGAUGAAAUCAGGAUUGUCAGACUGCGAUAUGUGAAUUUGCACACAUACAGGGACUCAGAACAUAACUUCAAACAAGAAGCAC